This 425-nucleotide ribosomal RNA is filed under the name uncultured bacterium. RNAcentral describes it as "bacterial SSU rRNA". It matches the Rfam family "Bacterial small subunit ribosomal RNA", at positions 354 to 796 of the family's 1533-position model. The record is from RNAcentral.
GUGGGGAAUUUUGCACAAUGGGCGGAAGCCUGAUGCAGCGACGCCGCGUGGAGGACGAAGGCCUUCGGGUUGUAAACUCCUUUUAUCGGGGAAGAUAAUGACGGUACCCGAUGAAUAAGCCACGGCUAACUCUGUGCCAGCAGCCGCGGUAAGACAGAGGUGGCAAGCGUUGUUCGGAAUUACUGGGCUUAAAGGGCGCGUAGGCGGUGGGACAAGUCUGAGGUGGAAUUCUAGAGCUUAACUGUAGGAUUGCCUUGGAAACUGUUUCACUUGAGUCGGACAGGGGAAGGCGGAAUUCCUGGUGUAGCGGUGAAAUGCGUAGAUAUCAGGAGGAAGGCCUGUGGCGAAGGCGGCCUUCUGGGUCUUGACUGACGCUGAGGCGCGAAAGCGUGGGGAGCAAACAGGAUUAGAAACCCGGGUAGUCC